AACGAACGCUGGCGGCAGGCCUAACACAUGCAAGUCGAACGCUCCAGCAAUGGAGAGUGGCAGACGGGUGAGUAACGCGUGGGAACCUUCCCUAUGGUUCGGAAUAGCUCAGGGAAACUUGAGGUAAUACCGGAUAAGCCCUUCGGGGAAGGAUUAUCNCCAUUGAUGGCCGCGUAGGAUUAGCUAGUUGGUGAGGUAACGGCUCACCAAGGCGACGAUCCUUAGCNGGUCUGAGAGGAUGAUCAGCCACACUGGGACGUGAGACACGGCCCAGACUCCUACGGGAGGCAGCAGUGGGGAAGUAUUGGACAAUGGGCGCAAGCCUGAUCCAGCCAUGCCGCGUGAGUGACGAAGGCCUUAGGGUUGUAAAGC
Molecule: ribosomal RNA, 372 nt
Filed under: uncultured bacterium
Lineage: Bacteria
Description: bacterial SSU rRNA
Rfam family: Bacterial small subunit ribosomal RNA
Source: RNAcentral